Molecule: long non-coding RNA, 511 nt
Organism: Neltuma alba
Lineage: Eukaryota; Viridiplantae; Streptophyta; Magnoliopsida; Fabales; Fabaceae
Exons: 4
Source: RefSeq, a predicted model, not a curated record
AAAAGCAUCAUCUGCGAGCCCAAUCUGUCAACAUUAUGCAUGAUUAUUCAUCAAACGAGCGAUAUUAUUAUUGGAGACAUAGAGACUCGCCUCAGAGAAGCAUGAGGAUCGAUGCUGCUACACUAUAUAUUUCUCAUGUCAGUUUUGAGACUAGCUAAUGUCAAUGCAUUCUUCACUUGAAAUCUUUCUAAUUUGAAGAUCUAAAGUAAAGCCAUUGAUCUUUAUCGUAAAAGAGCUAGGGUUCUUUGAAGUAUAUUUGUUUUAAAGUGAUGAGAGAAAAAGAGAGGCAUGCUACAGUUUGGAUUCCGUCCUCUCUAUUUUCGGUUCCGCAAAACACACGUAUUCUUGAACAGAGCAAAGGACUUUGACUAAAAGGCCUGCAAAAGAAGAAGAGUCAAAAAAGCCCCCACCGACCCAAACAAUUUUGCAUUCAUAUGCACUAACUGCUUCAACUGAAUCCAAGUUAUUCUUGGAAGCAUUUGCAUGUACAGGAUCUGACUUGAACGAUUCG